CAUGCAAGUCGAACGGAAAGGCCCUUCGGGGUACUCGAGUGGCGAACGGGUGAGUAACACGUGGGUGAUCUGCCCUGCACUUUGGGAUAAGCCUGGGAAACUGGGUCUAAUACCGGAUAGGACUACGCGAUGCAUGUCGUGUGGUGGAAAGCUUUUGCGGUGUGGGAUGGGCCCGCGGCCUAUCAGCUUGUUGGUGAGGUUAUGGCUUACCAAGGCGACGACGGGUAGCCGGCCUGAGAGGGUGACCGGCCACACUGGGACUGAGAUACGGCCCAGACUCCUACGGGAGGCAGCAGUGGGGAAUAUUGCACAAUGGGCGCAAGCCUGAUGCAGCGACGCCGCGUGAGGGAUGACGGCCUUCGGGUUGUAAACCUCUUUCAGUAGGGACGAAGCGCAAGUGACGGUACCUAUAGAAGAAGGACCGGCCAACUACGUGCCAGCAGCCGCGGUAAUACGUAGGGUCCGAGCGUUGUCCGGAAUUACUGGGCGUAAAGAGCUCGUAGGUGGUUUGUCGCGUUGUUCGUGAAAACUCCACA
RNAcentral lists this ribosomal RNA (536 nucleotides) under uncultured Mycobacterium sp. RNAcentral's name for it is "bacterial SSU rRNA". It matches the Rfam family "Bacterial small subunit ribosomal RNA", at positions 54 to 607 of the family's 1533-position model. Lineage: Bacteria; Bacillati; Actinomycetota; Actinomycetes; Mycobacteriales; Mycobacteriaceae. The record is from RNAcentral.